RNAcentral lists this long non-coding RNA (283 nucleotides) under Cavia porcellus (domestic guinea pig). Its description in RNAcentral is "lncRNA (ENSCPOG00000038314.1)". The record is from RNAcentral. Lineage: Eukaryota; Metazoa; Chordata; Mammalia; Rodentia; Caviidae.
UCUGGUCCCCGGUGUGCUUUCUCUUCAGCCCUCAGCCUGGGAAAGGAGACAAAGAGAACCAGGCCUGGUGCUGUGAAGCUGCUAGCAACGGGGACAGCUGGGAGGCCCCUGUGGCAAGCUGCUGUCUCCAGGACACCCCCAAAGAAAGAAGACCUUCCAAGAAAAUGAAAGAGUCAGCUGUGAAGGCGUACAACUGAAAUCCCAGCAUUCAUGAGGCUGAGACAGGAGGGUUCACUGCAAGUUCAAGGCCAGCCUGAACUGCAUAGCAAGAUCUUACCUCAAC